UCUGUCCACCUCGCUGGUGCAAGCAUGCAAGUCAGACCUGUUCUUAUGUCGAAGUAGGCGGAAGGCCUGGCCCACUUCCCACAAGCAUGCUGGAGUCCAGC
RNAcentral lists this non-coding RNA (101 nucleotides) under Lingulaulax polyedra. Lineage: Eukaryota; Dinophyceae; Gonyaulacales; Lingulodiniaceae. The record is from RNAcentral.